Molecule: ribosomal RNA, 253 nt
Filed under: uncultured bacterium
Lineage: Bacteria
Description: partial 16S ribosomal RNA
Rfam family: Bacterial small subunit ribosomal RNA
Source: RNAcentral
UACGUAGGUGGCAAGCGUUGUCCGGAAUUACUGGGCGUAAAGGGCGUGUAGGCGGCCAAUUAAGUCAGACGUGAAAAUCAGGGGCUUAACCUCGGGAGUGCGUUUGAAACUGACUGGCUAGAGGAUCGGAGAGGGCAGUGGAAUUCCCAGUGUAGCGGUGAAAUGCGUAGAUAUUGGGAAGAACACCAGUGGCGAAGGCGGCUGCCUGGACGACACCUGACGCUGAGGCGCGAAAGCUAGGGGAGCAAACGGG